This 269-nucleotide non-coding RNA is filed under the name Paenibacillus ferrarius. Its description in RNAcentral is "T-box sequence". It matches the Rfam family "T-box leader". Rfam says of the family: Uncharged tRNA acts as the effector for transcription antitermination of genes in the T-box leader family. Lineage: Bacteria; Bacillati; Bacillota; Bacilli; Caryophanales; Paenibacillaceae. The record is from RNAcentral.
AUAAACGCAAUGAACAAGAGUAGUAAGGGCUCAUUUGAUCGGUACAGAAAGCUGCGGGUUGAUGCGACGCAGACCGUGAAAUCCCUGAACUCGCUUGGAAGCGGUCCUCCUGAGCAGCAGAGAUACGAAGCUGUUAGGGAGGAACGGAUGACCUCCGUGAUCAGGUGAUGCAGUUGGCAGCAAGCUUGCUGACUGCAUCUGAGGUGGGCUCCGUGACUCGGAGUCAACAAGAGUGGUACCGCGCUGGGUGAAGACCCGUCGUCUCUUAU